This is a non-coding RNA of Acanthosepion pharaonis, 96 nucleotides long. The record is from the annotation of a GenBank genome assembly. Lineage: Eukaryota; Metazoa; Mollusca; Cephalopoda; Sepiida; Sepiidae.
AAAACACCGGUUCCUGUAUGAUCACCGAAGUUAAGUAACGUCGACGUUGGUCAGUACCUAGAUGGGUGACCGCUCGGAAAUACCAGGCACUGUAAG